CAGUAGCCGCGGGAAAACGAAGGGUGCAAGCGUUACUCGGAAUUACUGGGCGUAAAGCGUGCGUAGGUGGUGGUUUAAGUCCGUUGUGAAAGCCCUUGGCUCAACCUGGGAAUUGCAGUGGAUACUGGGUCACUAGAGUGUGGUAGAGGAUAGUGGAAUUUCCGGUGUAGCAGUGAAAUGCGUAGAGAUCGGAAGGAACAUCUGUGGCGAAGGCGACUAUCUGGGCCAACACUGACACUGAGGCACGAAAGCGUGGUGAGCAAACAGGAUUAGAUACCCGGGUAGUCCCUGUCUCUUAUAU
This 301-nucleotide ribosomal RNA is filed under the name uncultured bacterium. RNAcentral describes it as "partial 16S ribosomal RNA". It matches the Rfam family "Bacterial small subunit ribosomal RNA", at positions 509 to 809 of the family's 1533-position model. The record is from RNAcentral.